AUCCAGAUGACGAGUCCCAAAUGGGACGAAACCUGCGUCCUGGGU
Molecule: non-coding RNA, 45 nt
Filed under: Schistosoma mansoni
Lineage: Eukaryota; Metazoa; Platyhelminthes; Trematoda; Strigeidida; Schistosomatidae
Source: RNAcentral